GCGACGCACUCCACUUCAUGCCCGCGGGCGGGUCAAAGAAAGGAGAAUCCCGCUUUGUUCAGCGGUGCGGCAGCGUGGAGACCUGCCGUAAGGCCCACGGGCGAAAGCUUCCCAUGGGCGAGACGGGGACGCGGAGGCGGAACCGCCAUGAACAAGAAAGAUGGCA
RNAcentral lists this non-coding RNA (166 nucleotides) under bovine gut metagenome. RNAcentral's name for it is "malK-I RNA". It matches the Rfam family "malK-I RNA". The record is from RNAcentral.